UGAGGAAUAUUGGUCAAUGGGCGGGAGCCUGAACCAGCCAAGUAGCGUGCAGGAUGACGGCCCUAUGGGUUGUAAACUGCUUUUGCGCGGGGAUAAAGUGCGCCACGUGUGGCUCAUUGCAGGUACCGCGCGAAUAAGGACCGGCUAAUUCCGUGCCAGCAGCCGCGGUAAUACGGAAGGUCCGGGCGUUAUCCGGGAUUCAUUGGGUUUAAAGGGAGCGCAGGCCGCCCCUUAAGCGUGUUGUGAAAUGCCGCGGCUCAACCGUGGCACUGCAGCGCGAACUGGGGGGCUUGAGUGUGCACGACGCUGGCGGAAUUCGUGGUGUAGCGGUGAAAUGCUUAGAUAUCACGAAGAACUCCGAUUGCGAAGGCAGCUGGCGAGAGCACAACUGACGCUGAAGCUCGAAAGUGCGGGUAUCGAACAGGAUUAGAUA
Molecule: ribosomal RNA, 433 nt
Filed under: uncultured Prevotella sp.
Lineage: Bacteria; Pseudomonadati; Bacteroidota; Bacteroidia; Bacteroidales; Prevotellaceae
Description: bacterial SSU rRNA
Rfam family: Bacterial small subunit ribosomal RNA
Source: RNAcentral